RNAcentral lists this long non-coding RNA (244 nucleotides) under Nicotiana benthamiana. RNAcentral's name for it is "long non-coding RNA (NBEN_LNC031314)". The record is from RNAcentral. Lineage: Eukaryota; Viridiplantae; Streptophyta; Magnoliopsida; Solanales; Solanaceae.
UUACGAUCAGGUGCAAUAUCAAUGUUGUACUGAAAUUGUUUGACAAAAUCCUGGGCCAUGUCAUCCCAAACAUGCCAAUGAGAGAUGUCUUGGUCGGUGAACCAUUCAGAAGCUACACCCACAAGGCUUUCUCCAAAGUAAGUCAUUAGCAGCUCUUCCUUUCCUCCUACAUCCCUCAACUGAUUGCAAUACCUUUUCAAGUGGGCGAUAGGGUCGCCGUGUCCGUCAUAUUUCUCAAAUUUUG